RNAcentral lists this ribosomal RNA (234 nucleotides) under uncultured bacterium. RNAcentral describes it as "partial small subunit ribosomal RNA". It matches the Rfam family "Bacterial small subunit ribosomal RNA", at positions 26 to 285 of the family's 1533-position model. The record is from RNAcentral.
AGAGCGAACGCUGGCGGCAGGCCUAAUACAUGCAAGUCGAACGGACCCUUCGGGGUUAGUGGCGCACGGGUGAGUAACACGUGAAUCAUCUACCUUCGAGUGGGGAAUAACUGAGAGAAAUCUUAGCUAAUACCGCAUAAUACCCACGGGUCAAAGCAGCAAUGCGCUUGAAGAGGAGUUCGCGGCAGAUUAGUUAGUUGGCGGGGUAAUGGCCCACCAAGACGAUGAUCUGUA